Molecule: non-coding RNA, 31 nt
Filed under: Rattus norvegicus (Norway rat)
Lineage: Eukaryota; Metazoa; Chordata; Mammalia; Rodentia; Muridae
Source: RNAcentral
UAAGCUAUAAUACCCUAGCAGCUUGUGCAGC